RNAcentral lists this transfer RNA (76 nucleotides) under Candidatus Omnitrophota bacterium. RNAcentral's name for it is "tRNA-Pro". It matches the Rfam family "tRNA". From Rfam's summary of the family: Transfer RNA (tRNA) molecules are approximately 80 nucleotides in length. Their secondary structure includes four short double-helical elements and three loops (D, anti-codon, and T loops). Further hydrogen bonds mediate the characteristic L-shaped molecular structure. tRNAs have two regions of fundamental functional importance: the anti-codon, which is responsible for specific mRNA codon recognition, and the 3' end, to which the tRNAs corresponding amino acid is attached (by aminoacyl-tRNA synthetases). tRNAs cope with the degeneracy of the genetic code in two manners: having more than one tRNA (with a specific anti-codon) for a particular amino acid; and 'wobble' base-pairing, i.e. permitting non-standard base-pairing at the 3rd anti-codon position. The record is from RNAcentral. Lineage: Bacteria; Pseudomonadati; Candidatus Omnitrophota.
CGGGGCGUAGCGUAGCUCGGCUUAACGCGUCUGCUUUGGGAGCAGAAGAUCGGUGGUUCGAAUCCACUCGCCCCGA